CUGGUCUGAGAGGAUGAUCAGUCACACUGGAACUGAGACACGGCUCCAGACUCCUACGGGAGGCAGCAGUGGGGAAUAUUGGACAAUGGGCGAAAGCCUGAUCCAGCCAUGCCGCGUGUGUGAAGAAGGUCUUCGGAUUGUAAAGCACUUUAAGUUGGGAGGAAGGGCAGUAAGUUAAUACCUUGCUGUUUUGACGUUACCGACAGAAUAAGCACCGGCUAACUUGGGUGCCAGCAGCCGCGGUAAU
This 247-nucleotide ribosomal RNA is filed under the name uncultured bacterium. RNAcentral's name for it is "partial 16S ribosomal RNA". It matches the Rfam family "Bacterial small subunit ribosomal RNA", at positions 287 to 524 of the family's 1533-position model. The record is from RNAcentral.